This 98-nucleotide ribosomal RNA is filed under the name Hypsizygus marmoreus. Lineage: Eukaryota; Fungi; Basidiomycota; Agaricomycetes; Agaricales; Lyophyllaceae. The record is from RNAcentral.
ACCGGAUCCCGUCUGAUCUGCGCAGUUAACCAGAGUGCCGCCUAGUUAGUACCACGGUGGGGGACCACGCGGGAAUCCUGGGUGCUGUGGUUUUUGCU